AGUGAACGCUGGCGGUAGGCCUAACACAUGCAAGUCGAACGGCAGCACAGUAAGAGCUUGCUCUUACGGGUGGCGAGUGGCGGACGGGUGAGGAAUACAUCGGAAUCUACUUUUUCGUGGGGGAUAACGUAGGGAAACUUACGCUAAUACCGCAUACGACCUACGGGUGAAAGCAGGGGAUCUUCGGACCUUGCGCGAUUGAAUGAGCCGAUGUCGGAUUAGCUAGUUGGCGGGGUAAAGGCCCACCAAGGCGACGAUCCGUAGCUGGUCUGAGAGGGUGACAGGCGAAAUUGGGAGGGAGCUACGGCCGAGACGCGUACGGGAGGCAGGAGUGGGGAAUAGUGCACAAUGGGCGGAAGCCUGAUGCAGAAAAGCCGAGUGCGGGAUGACGGCCGUCGGGUUGUAAACCGAGUGAGCCUGUGACGAAGCGGGAGUGACGGUAAUGGGUAAAGAGGCACCGGCUAAAGACGUG
Molecule: ribosomal RNA, 472 nt
Filed under: uncultured bacterium
Lineage: Bacteria
Description: partial 16S ribosomal RNA
Rfam family: Bacterial small subunit ribosomal RNA
Source: RNAcentral